GCCUAACUUUUUUUUUUCUAAUCGAUAAGCGUUUUUGGUGAUAAUAACCAAUGGGACGACAUCGAUGUCACAUUGUAGAUGAUGCACUCACAGACCAUUGUGAGAAGACACUUGUCUCUGACUUUGCGGAGGACAUGGAUGAGUGAACUCAGAUAAUCGACAGAUAGCAGAUUGUGAGGAGAUAUUCGCUGAAUGUGACUAAAUCUGUUACAAGUUAAAAUGAGCUUAGAAUUGAUUACAGUACCUUUGAAUUAUCGUCACUACAUUGAGCAGAGACCAUCGUCAUCGGUCCAAACGUGGAUGAUCACCUACCACUGAUCCAGCAUAGUCAUAUUGCAGUAGCUUUGAGGACAGAAGAGGAGAAUAACAAAGACAGCA
This is a long non-coding RNA of Alosa alosa (allis shad), 378 nucleotides long. RefSeq lists it as uncharacterized. The record is from RefSeq and is a predicted model, not a curated record. NCBI's taxonomy places the organism in Eukaryota, Metazoa, Chordata, Actinopteri, Clupeiformes, Clupeidae. The transcript has 3 exons.